Molecule: ribosomal RNA, 253 nt
Filed under: uncultured bacterium
Lineage: Bacteria
Description: partial 16S ribosomal RNA
Rfam family: Bacterial small subunit ribosomal RNA
Source: RNAcentral
UACAGAUGUCUCAAGCGUUGUUCGGAUUCAUUGGGCGUAAAGGGUGCGUAGGUGGCUGGGCAAGUCUGGUGUGAAAUCCCGGGGCUCAACCCUGGAACUGCACUGGAUACUGCUUUGCUAGAGUACUGGAGAGGGAACUGGAAUUUACGGUGUAGCAGUGAAAUGCGUAGAUAUCGUAAGGAAGACCAGUGGCGAAGGCGAGUUCCUGGACAGUUACUGACACUGAGGCACGAAGGCCAGGGGAGCAAACGGG